This is a long non-coding RNA of Branchiostoma belcheri (Belcher's lancelet), 618 nucleotides long. RefSeq lists it as uncharacterized. The record is from RefSeq and is a predicted model, not a curated record. Lineage: Eukaryota; Metazoa; Chordata; Leptocardii; Amphioxiformes; Branchiostomatidae. The transcript is spliced from 4 exons.
GGUCCUUUCCAGCUGAUCCAAGAUGUCGUCGUCCCUUGAGUCCAUGGCGCGGUACAUCAGUCCGGUGAACCCGGCGGUGUACCCACACCUCACCCUGGUCCUGCUGGGCAUAGGCAUCUUCUUCAUGGCAUGGUUCUUUGUUUACGAGGUGACGUCGAACAAGUACACCCGUGACCUGUACAAGGAGCUUCUGGUCUCGCUGGUGGCCUCCCUGUUCAUGGGAUUCGGAGUCUUGUUCCUCUUACUCUGGGUCGGCAUUUAUGUAUAGCAGUAACCACUAGAGAUGCAGCUAUCAUAUGGAGAAGCAACAUUCCAGGGAAAACUGCAACAUGGAGAGGGACACCAACAUCUCUGCAUCGUUCUCAACACUGUGAUCAGAGACUUCAAAUCGGACGCUAUGAUAAAACUGAUGACCUAAUAAUCUGGAAGAAUGUAACAAAUGGAAGCAGCAUUUGUACAUUGUCACAGAAAGCAUCCUAUUCAUAGCAGACACUUGUAAUAGCAAUUUCAAAAUGUGUACAAGACACGUGUAGAAGACAAAAAAAAUACAAGUGACUUGGCAUGAUUUUUUAUUAUGUCUUUAUUGAUGAAUAAAUAGGUUUAUUUGUACAAACGUUA